This is a long non-coding RNA of Brassica napus (rape), 1884 nucleotides long. RefSeq lists it as uncharacterized. Lineage: Eukaryota; Viridiplantae; Streptophyta; Magnoliopsida; Brassicales; Brassicaceae. The record is from RefSeq and is a predicted model, not a curated record. The transcript has 6 exons.
AUAAUCUGUUUUUGCCACGUAAGCCACCAAAUUAGUAUUCGGUUGGGCUUUUUAUUUCAUUUGAUCCGUCAAAUAAUUUUGUUUGUUUGGCCCAUUGAAAUCCUAAUACCUUUCUACGAGCGUCGAUUCCUUUGGUCUUCCUCUUCGUCGUUUCCUUUUCUCCCUAACGGAUCAAUCCUUAUAAACAUCUCUAACUCUUCUGCAAUCAAACCUCUAUUAACCUCAUGCAUAGAGUAAAUUCUUUGUGCUCUCUACGAUGAAUCCCAACAGCGAAUCCCAUGUUUUCGGCGAUCUUAUCUCCAAGAAAUCAAACGGAAAGGACGGUGUCUCCUCCGACGAGCCGAUCGAAUGUACCGGCCAAAGUGGUGUGUCUUCCACCAAAGCUGUCUCCGGCGAUCCUCUGUCGAAGAAACCAAACGGCAAGGCCGUUGUCUCCUCCGCCGAGCCCAUCAAACAUAGCAGCGGAACCGGUGUCCCUAAAUCUCAGCCUAUAUCUUCAUCUCCGUCUCUUCCUUACCUUCCGUUCAACGUUUAUGCAACCUCUCAUCAACUCUACUAACGGUACACGGAAGCUUGAUCAUGGAGUUUAUUACAAAUGGUGGGUUAGUCCCGCUAUGAGCAAGGCCAUGGAUGGUUAAAUCCUCAACUCUGAGUAAUGGAGCUCUCUCAGUGCAUUGUUCAGAUAUUAAGAUUUUUCUGCAAAUAUACUUUUGCAGUUUUGCCCAAAACGUUUUAAGGAUUUUUCAGGUUAGAUUAUUUUGAGAGUUUCAAGAGGUGCACCUGGAAGAACAUUCUUAACCACUCACGGAGGUUGCUGGUUUGACGGAGAGCGAUGUUGUGGACAUCGUGAAGGUGUAAGAAUGAUACCUCUCUGAAAGUAGAAGUCACUUGCAAAACAAAAGGUGAGGAAGUUUUCGAGAAAGCAACUUUACGACAGUGACACUCUGAAACGCCUCAGUGGAAUAUUAGGCGCUAUUCUUCAUUGGGCUUACUUCCCUUUCCGCAAAGAGAAAAGCUUAUGGGUUCUUCUUGCGGAUUCAAACAAUAUCUGUUUCUUCCUGAAGGUUGCUUUCAUGGACAGAGUUUGAAGCUAUAAGCAUUGCGUCGAGUGCUAUUAGUUAGACAGUGAAUACUUUAGGAGAAAGCGUCGAGAUAAAUCAUAAUGCAGUUAGAGAAGUUCCGACUCUGUGAGAAGAUUAAAAGUGGGUCUAGAUUGGUUUUGCAGCCACUUUCCGAGGUAGGUGGAAUGAUACUGAGACAAGAACGUCAAUACUCUUGCUAACCAGUCUAAAUUCAAAAAAUACUUGGAGGUGUUGUAACCCUUAGCUUCACAAAUUCCCCACGACUCUUCUUUGAUUCCGUCGUCAGUGUGACAGAAAAAUAUCUAUCAAGGUUUGGAGCAAAUGGAGAUACCACACCAGCUAUCAAAAGCUCCUCCGCAGCUAUCAAUAGCCUCCACUAUGUGAUGACGGUGGUGGUGAGGCAACCUUUGUCAUCUUUAAGCAGCACUGAAACUGGUUGGUGGACAAGCGCCAUUGGUCAUGAACGAGAUGAGAGAGAUACUUACAAUCAAUAAGUGUAACACUAGAUAUCUAUAAGUCUCAUGAGAGUGCUCCCAAUGAAAAAGCAGCCAUAACAACACCACAGUGUUUCCAAGACACUGUUGGAUGCUUAUGCAACUUCAAGUCAAGCUCACGGAUUUUAAUUUCAAGUUACUUACAAGACAGUCAGGGUCUUCUGUAUUAUUAUGAUACCAUUUAAAAGGGUUCAACUAACCUUACAAGUUACAAACCAAUGAUGCAGUAGACAGAUUUAAGUUUUUGUUUCUGAUUUUUACAAUAGCUAACCCCUUCCAGUUUAUGUUUUUAAUUCUGAUUUCGAACA